CAAUUUGCAUUAGUAGACAGCCAGCAGUCGUCAGUGGAACGACAGCUAUCAGAACAGAUCAGAACGUAUUUUACUCAACAAAAUUUUGCACACAAAAACAAACAAUUUACAACUAAAAUGUCCGCUCUAUUGUGUUAUGUAAGCACAUAUUUGGCAUUAACCGUCGCAUUGGCCAAUGCCAACCAGAUGGAGAUACCAGCGUAUGUGAAGAAAAUGAAAUGCGACGACUGUAGCAUGAACAAGGAUUGCGAAGUUAAAAGUACGGGUUUCUUUUGUCCAUACGUUAACGACAGAAUCCAGAUUCAUUACGAUCGAGAUGGUAAUUUUUCGAAGGGCCUGGGAUAUUUGGCUGACUGCAUGCUCCCGCACUAUUAUUUUUACAACAAACAGUCCAUUGCACACGUUUGCUGCUUCUGGUCGCCCAUUAUUGGCUGUCAGCAGGUCAGGAACGUAAAGGCAAUUAAGGCGCAUUGCGGCGCAUGCGCCAAUUGGAAUUGGAGUCCUGACCGACACUAUGUGGGUUGUCCGUGCCAAGAAAGGGAAGAAGUAAUGAAGAGAAAAAGGAAAAAGGGCAAGAAAGGCAGCUGCACAAAAGUAACACAUUUUGGCAUCGUUCCUAUGAUUCUCAUCCAUUUGGUGCAGCAAAUAUUUGCCACCAAUUGAUGCCACCAACUUUUCUACUCAACCAAACACACAACUCACAUCUUGCACAUAGAAUAUGACACAGAAAUAUGACACAGGUGCGCGACAAGAGUUAAAUAAUUCGAAGCUCUUUGAUAGUUCCUUGAUGGUAAACCCUCACCAUACCCAGGGUUCUAUGCACUCCAUUCUAAAGUUACAACCGAGACACGAUUGCUGGUUCAUUACACGCUACAAAUAUUCUGCUGACCUAGAAAGAUGCAAGAAAAUCGUGAACGUGAUGCAACAGACAUGAUGGAUUCAAUUGCUACUUCAAGAGCGCAAAAGAGAGUCCUAAUUCCUGGAAUGUUUUUGGGAUCCAUGGAACGGGCAUUUUCCAUCGAUGUGCUCCACAUUUUUGUACACUCCUUUUGGCAAAUAAACAUUAAGAUAC
Drosophila guanche is the source of this 1072-nucleotide long non-coding RNA. RefSeq lists it as uncharacterized. NCBI's taxonomy places the organism in Eukaryota, Metazoa, Arthropoda, Insecta, Diptera, Drosophilidae. The transcript has 3 exons. The record is from RefSeq and is a predicted model, not a curated record.